UUUAUUGGAGAGUUUGAUCCUGGCUCAGGAUGAACGCUGGCGGCGUGCCUAAUACAUGCAAGUCGAGCGAAUGGAUUAAGAGCUUGCUCUUAUGAAGUUAGCGGCGGACGGGUGAGUAACACGUGGGUAACCUGCCCAUAAGACUGGGAUAACUCCGGGAAACCAGGGCUAAUACCGGAUAACAUUUUGAACUGCAUGGUUCGAAAUUGAAAGG
RNAcentral lists this ribosomal RNA (214 nucleotides) under Bacillus paranthracis. Its description in RNAcentral is "partial 16S ribosomal RNA". It matches the Rfam family "Bacterial small subunit ribosomal RNA", at positions 1 to 208 of the family's 1533-position model. The record is from RNAcentral. Lineage: Bacteria; Bacillati; Bacillota; Bacilli; Caryophanales; Bacillaceae.